RNAcentral lists this ribosomal RNA (253 nucleotides) under uncultured bacterium. RNAcentral's name for it is "partial 16S ribosomal RNA". It matches the Rfam family "Bacterial small subunit ribosomal RNA", at positions 524 to 776 of the family's 1533-position model. The record is from RNAcentral.
UACGUAGGGGGCAAGCGUUGUCCGGAAUCAUUGGGCGUAAAGAGCUCGUAGGCGGCUUGUCGCGUCGGCUGUGAAAACCUGGGGCUCAACCCCGGGCCUGCAGACGAUACGGGCAAGCUAGAAUUCGGUAGGGGAGACUGGAAUUCCUGGUGUAGCGGUGAAAUGCGCAGAUAUCAGGAGGAACACCGGUGGCGAAGGCGGGUCUCUGGGCCGAUAUUGACGCUGAGGAGCGAAAGCGUGGGGAGCGAACAGG